RNAcentral lists this ribosomal RNA (441 nucleotides) under uncultured bacterium. RNAcentral describes it as "partial 16S ribosomal RNA". It matches the Rfam family "Bacterial small subunit ribosomal RNA", at positions 38 to 507 of the family's 1533-position model. The record is from RNAcentral.
GGCGGCCUGCCUAACACAUGCAAGUCGCACGGGGGGGCUUCGGCCUCCCAGUGGCGGACGGGUGAGGAACGCGUAGGGACCUGUCGAGGGGUGGGGGAUAACCGCGGGAAACUGCGGCUAAUACCGCAUGACGCCGCGGCGUGACAGCCGGGGCCAAAGGCGAAAGCCGCCCGCCGAGGGGCCUGCGUCCGAUUAGCUGGUUGGCGGGGUAGCGGCCCACCAAGGCGUCGAUCGGUAGCUGGUCUGAGAGGGUGAUCAGCCACACCGGGACUGAGACACGGCCCGGACUCCUACGGGAGGCAGCAGUGGGGAAUAUUGGACAAUGGGCGCAAGCCUGAUCCAGCAAUGCCGCGUGGGUGAAGAAGGUCUUCGGAUUGUAAAGCCCUUUCGGCGGGGACGAUGGUGACGGUACCCGCAGAAGAAGCCCCGGCUAACUUCGUG